This 192-nucleotide ribosomal RNA is filed under the name uncultured bacterium. RNAcentral's name for it is "partial 16S ribosomal RNA". It matches the Rfam family "Bacterial small subunit ribosomal RNA", at positions 335 to 524 of the family's 1533-position model. The record is from RNAcentral.
ACUCCUACGGGAGGCAGCAGUAGGGAAUCUUCCGCAAUGGACGAAAGUCUGACGGAGCAACGCCGCGUGAGUGAUGAAGGUUUUCGGAUCGUAAAACUCUGUUGUUAGGGAAGAACACCCGGGAGAGGAUCCCGGCUUGACGGUACCUAACGAGAAAGCCCCGGCUAACUACGUGCCAGCAGCCGCGGUAAU